ACGGAAGGCAGCAGUGGGGGAUAUUGCACAAUGGGGGAAACCCUGAUGCAGCGACGCCGCGUGAGUGAAGAAGUAUUUCGGUAUGUAAAGCUCUAUCAGCAGGGAAGAAAAUGACGGUACCUGCAGAAUAAGCCCCGGCUAACUACGUGCCAGCAGCCGCGGUAAUACGUAGGGGGCAAGCGUUAUCCGGAUUUACUGGGUGUAAAGGGAGCGUAGACGGCAUAGCAAGUCUGAAGUGAAAGCCCGCGGCUUAACUGCGGGACUGCUUUGGAAACUGUUAAGCUAGAGUGUCGGAGAGGUGAGUGGAAUUCCCAGUGUAGCGGUGAAAUGCGUAGAUAUUGGGAGGAACACCGGAGGCGAAGGCGGCUCACUGGACGAUAACUGACGUUGAUGCUCGAAAGCGUGGGGAGCAAACAGGAUUAGAUACCCUGGUA
Molecule: ribosomal RNA, 434 nt
Filed under: uncultured Moryella sp.
Lineage: Bacteria; Bacillati; Bacillota; Clostridia; Lachnospirales; Lachnospiraceae
Description: partial 16S ribosomal RNA
Rfam family: Bacterial small subunit ribosomal RNA
Source: RNAcentral